GACGAACGCUGGCGGCGUGCCUAAUACAUGCAAGUAGAACGCUGAAGGAGGAGCUUGCUUCUCUGGAUGAGUUGCGAACGGGUGAGUAACGCGUAGGUAACCUGCCUGGUAGCGGGGGAUAACUAUUGGAAACGAUAGCUAAUACCGCAUAAGAGUAGAUGUUGCAUGACAUUUGCUUAAAAGGUGCAAUUGCAUCACUACCAGAUGGACCUGCGUUGUAUUAGCUAGUUGGUGGGGUAACGGCUCACCAAGGCGACGAUACAUAGCCGACCUGAGAGGGUGAUCGGCCACACUGGGACUGAGACACGGCCCAGACUCCUACGGGAGGCAGCAGUAGGGAAUCUUCGGCAAUGGACGGAAGUCUGACCGAGCAACGCCGCGGGAGGGAAGAAGGUUUUCGGAUCGUAAAGCUCGGUUGUAAGAGAAGAACGAGUGUGAGAGUGGAAAGUUCACACUGUGACGGUAUCUUACCAGAAAGGGACGGCUAACUACGUG
RNAcentral lists this ribosomal RNA (495 nucleotides) under uncultured bacterium. RNAcentral's name for it is "partial 16S ribosomal RNA". It matches the Rfam family "Bacterial small subunit ribosomal RNA", at positions 28 to 507 of the family's 1533-position model. The record is from RNAcentral.